AUGUCUCAUGCCUGCCUCCCAGAGCAAGUGAGAUGCCCUUCCUAUGGCACAAGAACAGAAAAUAUUUGGAAAAUUCAUCAGUUGAGAAAGAUCCUCCCCCCAUUCCAGUACCCCAUGAGUUUUGGGGAGCUUGUUGUGCUUACUUAUUGUAUGAAAGACAAAAUCUUCUCUUUCCGAGAAUUUGGAAGCAUGCUGACAUUGAGUGGGCAAGGAGAGAAAAGAAAUCAACAGAUUCUUUUUGUGAGAAGCAAGUGAGUAACCCGGGUGU
This 268-nucleotide long non-coding RNA is filed under the name Fukomys damarensis (Damara mole-rat). RNAcentral describes it as "lncRNA (ENSFDAG00000021631.1)". The record is from RNAcentral. Lineage: Eukaryota; Metazoa; Chordata; Mammalia; Rodentia; Bathyergidae.